UCCGUAGGUGAACCUGCGGAAGGAUCAUUAUUGAAUUAAUGUAGAGUUGGUUGUAGCUGGCAUUUCCUUUAAUUUGGGGAUUGCAUGUGCACACCUUCUCUUUCAUCCAUACACCCCUGUGCACUUGUGAGACAGAUUGCUUUUUGGAGGGGGACUUUAUUGGACCUUUCUUUUUGGCUCUCUGUCUACUUAAUUAAUUUAAACUCAAUUUAUUUUAAAAUGAAUGUAAUGGAUGUAACACAUCUAAUACUAAGUUUCAACAACGGAUCUCUUGGCUCUCGCAUCGAUGAAGAACGCAGCGGAAUGCGAUAAGUAAUGUGAAUUGCAGAAUUCAGUGAAUCAUCGAAUCUUUGAACGCACCUUGCGCUCCUUGGUAUUCCUUGGAGCAUGCCUGUUUGAGUAUCAUGAAAUCUUCAAAGUAAUAUCUUUUGUUAAUUCAAUUGGUUUUGCUUUGGUAUUGGAGGUCUAUUGCAGCUUCACACCUGCUCCUCUUUGUUCAUUAGCUGGAUCUCAGUGUUAUGCUUGGUUCCACUCAGCGUGAUAAGUUAUCUAUCGCUGAGGACACUUUUUCAUACUCUGUAAAAAGAGUUUGGAGGGUGGCCAAGGUAAAUGCAGAUGAACCGCUUCUAAUAGUCCAUUGACUUGGACAAUAAAUAUUUAUGAUCUGAUCUCAAAUCAGGUAGGACUACCCGCUGAACUUAAGCAUAUCAAUAAGCGGAGGA
Molecule: ribosomal RNA, 722 nt
Filed under: Thanatephorus cucumeris
Lineage: Eukaryota; Fungi; Basidiomycota; Agaricomycetes; Cantharellales; Ceratobasidiaceae
Description: eukaryotic LSU rRNA
Rfam family: 5.8S ribosomal RNA (bases 252-405)
Source: RNAcentral